AUGCGCAUAGUUGCCACCGUCACCGUUCACCCAAGGGUUGUUCGACAGUGGAUCAACAAUGUAUCCAACUCCCUCGAAAAGGUAGAGACGAGGGUCAUCGGUCUUGACACAAAGUACACGGAGUGUGCCCCUGGGAAGAUCCAGCGCACCGCCGUCCUUCAGCUGUGCCUCGAAGAUGAUGUUUUGGUGUACCACAUCAUACACUCGCCCUCCAUACCAGGUGAGCUUCAUGAUUUCUUGUCUCGGGAGGAUGUAUACUUCUGUGGGACAGCCAUCAAAGGGGACAAACAGAAGCUGGAGUCGUACAACCUUGACUUGAAAAGCAUCGCUGACCUACAAACCAGAAUCAAAAUUCCUGUAGAAGAUUGUGAUAAACAGACACCAUCCCUAGUCGACAUAGCAAAUUUUGUGCUCGGUACAAAUCUUCAGAAGGGUGACGAGACGGUGGCAUUAAGGUCGUCUGGAUGGGAGAAUUAUCCCUUGACGUAUGAGCGGAUAAAAUAUGCUGCCCUCGAUGCCCGUGUGAGUUUCAAGAUAGCUGCAAGGUCCAAAGAGCUUGUUGCGAAGCCGUCUCCCACAAAGAAUGAGAACAACAAGAAGAAGAAGAAGAAGAAGAAGAAGAAGAAGAAGAAGAAGAAGAAGAAGAAGAAGAAGAAAAGGUUGCACCAGCAGUAG
This 675-nucleotide ribosomal RNA is filed under the name Triticum aestivum (bread wheat). RNAcentral describes it as "partial small subunit ribosomal RNA". The record is from RNAcentral. Lineage: Eukaryota; Viridiplantae; Streptophyta; Magnoliopsida; Poales; Poaceae.